UGAUUUACCCGACGCCUGCUCGUGUUUUGAUCACAUCUACAUGCUGGGUCCAUGCCUAUUCCCCAUUCUGCUGUUGUUACCGUGCACCACGUGGCGGUCUGUCUCCUGGGAGUGGACAUGUUUUACACCAAAUAGAGAAAAAGCCAGUACUAAUUGAAAACUUACAACACAGUGUCUCUUACUUUUUCGACAUUCCUUGGCAAGCUCUGAUCAGUUUCCCUGCCAGCUUAGUGAGGCCUUUGGAGUACGUAAGUUCAAGCUCAGCUCUUAAGCGGGAAAGGUUGCAGCAAAGGACAAUGACUGAGUCAAAAUCUCCUUCUGGAUGGUUUUAGGGACUGUCUGCUGGACAGCUGUAAAGACAUCAGUCUUUCUUAAGAUUGUGUAAGCUAUGGUGCGACCAUAACAUAACAUGUCUGUAUGAAGAGUUGUUUUUGUCAUUUUCUGAGAAAAUGAAACCUUGUCUUUCAUUGGCUGUAAGCCAUAACCAAUUAAAUCAAAGUUUGAAAUAUGUCACCCUGUGUUUAAUUGAUGUAUAAAAUAUAUGUUUCACUGAAUUACUGAUUUAGACUAACUUUUCCACAUCUAUUUUGAGCUGUACAAUCAACACAAAUUAAAUUAGAACAGCUGAUGAAGACAAAGACAUCAGGUACAGCCUCUCUUUGCAGCGACAAAUGGUUCUUUUGAGGAUCUGUGUUAAACUCAUCCCUGGUUUGCUCCUUGCAAACAAGCAGCCUGUGAAACAUCCUCCAGAUACUGAAGUCAUGGCAACAACUUUAAAAAUGGUGCAACGGAGAAAUUCACCAAAGUGAAGAAUCAUUAGAGUGCGGUGCGAAAUCAACAGCAGAUAACUAAGUGAUGCAGGCUGGUUUGCAUAUUUUAAAACCAGCAUACAUGCCACAAAUGCUUUGUUGUAUAAAAUAUCCAUGUUAUUUAAAUGCUGUGUUGAGAUAAAAAUGUAUAGCCUAAAUAUCAUUCGGGGGAUGUUUAAGAGCUGCUAUCACAAGCAAAAGUGGAAAAAAAAGAAGCAAAAAAA
Fundulus heteroclitus (mummichog) is the source of this 1033-nucleotide long non-coding RNA. RefSeq lists it as uncharacterized. The transcript is spliced from 2 exons. Lineage: Eukaryota; Metazoa; Chordata; Actinopteri; Cyprinodontiformes; Fundulidae. The record is from RefSeq and is a predicted model, not a curated record.